CGACGGGACCCGCACAAGCGGUGAUGAUGUGGAUUAAUUCGAUGCAACGCGAAAACCUUACCUACCCUUGACAUGUCUGGAAUCCCGAAGAGAUUUGGGAGUGCUCGCAAGAGAACCGGAACACAGGUGCUGCAUGGCUGUCGUCAGCUCGUGUCGUGAGAUGUUGGGUUAAGUCCCGCAACGAGCGCAACCCUUGUCAUUAGUUGCUACGAAAGGGCACUCUAAUGAGACUGCCGGUGACAAACCGGAGGAAGGUGGGGAUGACGUCAAGUCCUCAUGGCCCUUAUGGGUAGGGCUUCACACGUCAUACAAUGGUCGGGACAGAGGGUCGCCAACCCGCGAGGGGGAGCCAAUCCCAGAAACCCGAUCGUAGUCCGGAUUGUAGUCUGCAACUCGACUACAUGAAGUCGGAAUCGCUAGUAAUCGCGGAUCAGAAUGUCGCGGUGAAUACGUUCCCGGGUCUU
RNAcentral lists this ribosomal RNA (464 nucleotides) under uncultured Bordetella sp. RNAcentral describes it as "bacterial SSU rRNA". It matches the Rfam family "Bacterial small subunit ribosomal RNA", at positions 916 to 1381 of the family's 1533-position model. The record is from RNAcentral. Lineage: Bacteria; Pseudomonadati; Pseudomonadota; Betaproteobacteria; Burkholderiales; Alcaligenaceae.